AUUUGAUAUUUCAUAGAAAAACGAAAGGGAAAAGAUAGAGGGAACCAAAACGCCACUGGCAAGAUUACUCCUAGCCUCCUUGAAAAAUCGGUCUGAAGAGUCUCUGCAUAUAUUCAAACGGUAAUUUUUCAUACUUUUGAUGGAACUUUUUUUGAGUUUUUAUUUUUCGUCUUCAGUGGUGAUCUACGCUCAAUAAUUAGUCAGAAAGAUUUAAUCUUCCUGUGCUCGUGAUAGUUAAAUUCACAACUCACGUUAUACACGAUAUUUAUUUUAUUUUAUUUUAUUAUUAAUAUUUUUUUAAGGGUAGGGCUGAAGUCGCUUUGCAUUGUAGAAUGAAGCUUUAAUAGGGAUAAUAUCCAUUGUAGUUGUGCAUCGAUGAGGAUUGACUGUAAAUUAUUCAUUUGAGAUAAAAGCUAGGAAUUGCAUUUACCUUGUUAAUGGAAUCGCAUAGAGUUGGAAAACAAAAUAGAGUUCGAUAUCUUGCAGAUAACACGUUAUAAUUGAAUUAAGGUUGAAGACAAGGAUGGGGGUGUGGUGGGGUGGCUUCCUUGAGCAGAAAUUCAUUUUGGCUUCAAGGGCGUAUGCUUACUGUUGAUGCUAGACUGAUGUAUGAUCGCAAGGAUGAGAGAUUUAUUCUGCUAGCCAUGUUUGAAGUGCUUGAAUUUAAAAAAAAAAAAAAAAAAAUUAUGGUAACUUUUGUUGGACUAUAAAAUGGUACAUAGAUCAGAUUCUGUUUCUGACAUUUAAAAGAACGAAAACAUAGAUAAAAAAGAUCCAUGAAUACUUUUAUGGCUUAACCGCAGCCAAUUAAAGAGGCUUUGUUUUCUAUUUGAGACCAGAGCUGGAGUUUUUAUGCGGCUUUUGCAAACAAAAAAUCUCCUUGAAUGAGGAUCUGUUUAUGCCACAGAGAUGGAAUACCGCAUUGGAAUAAAUUGGUUUGUUAAGCCAGGGGAAUUGACUAAUUGUUAGUGGUAUUGGAGAAAAGUCAAAUGUAAAUACAUGGUUUAUUGGAUGUUACCUUGGUUUGGAACUUGAUGUGCUGCUUGACAUAUGUGGUAAUCAUCGUAGAUGUUUAUUUGGUUUGCAAAUUAGAAGCACAUAGGGUAUUUCAAUUCAGUCUGCUCUCUUAAGUAAUGAUGGGACAUUUGACAAACCAGUGUUUUACUGUGAUAUUGAAUUGAAUUUAGAAAAGUCAGUUUGUGAGGCAAAAUGGAAAUAAAUUCACUCUAAGCGAGAUUAGAUUACGUAAUUGACGUAAAUCAGGUUAAGUUCUAUUAAAACAGUGGAUGAUGAUGUGAUUACUGAUCAUAUUGUAUGUCCAAUUGUAAAUGGAUGGAGUACUUGUUCUUGCUAAUCUUUCUCUUUCUUCAUAACCAAAAACCCUAUUUUUUUCUUACUAGUAAAAUCCAGAUAAAUGCUUUACCAUGUUUCUUAUGUAGGUUAUGUUACACUAGGUGGUGCAAAGCAGUAAACUUCUGCCUUCAUUCUCUUGCAUGAAUUUUACUAAUCAUUUUGAGUGUAGGGGAAGACUCUGUGAACUGUAACCAUUUUUGGGCCAUUUUCAGUACGUGGUUAUGAAUACAUUCCUAGUGAAUUUUGUACUGUUUUGUAUUGCGAUAUAUCCUAGGGAUGAGUGCUGUGUUUUCUGUUAAUAUUUCAUUUUGGUUUCAAUUUUGAAGUAUGCAUGCACUUGUGUUCGAGGUCUUGUAUGUUAGCACUGAGAUAUUUGACAAACCAGUUUUUGUGUAAAAUCAAAUUCAAUAUGACACGUCACAUAAAAUAAGUCUGUUAGCAAAAUGCAAACGAAUUGCCUCUAACUGAAAUUACACAUUGAAUUGUUUUGAGUUGCUAUCAUUUGGUAAUUCUCUUAACAAGUGAGCACUUAUUUUGUAUUAUUUAUUUUUUAGAGAAUUGGCAAUCUUUCCGAUGUUAUUUCCCCUGACCUAUUUCAACUUGUAACCAACAUUUAGUUAUAUUUUUCUAUUGUUUUGUGUGUAUAGAUUUGGUGCAUCUAAGAGAUUUUACUCUUCCAGACAAAGGUCAACGAGUAGCAAUAAAACUCCCCUUCCAUUACCUGAACAGUCUACGUCCCCCAGCUCUUGGAGAUCUCUUAUUAUUGUAUGAUACUAUGACUCCAUCUUCCCUGGAGAUGCUCCAAUUUUGCAAUUCUCGUUCUAUAAAAUUUAUGUUCCAUCAUAGCUGGAAUUGGUGGUUUGGUUUUUUUCAUUCACUAUAACGAUGAAAAGAGAGCGAAUCCAAAAGGUGAUUUUGUCAUUUAGACUUACUGAUUUGAUUGAUUGACUUGAUGACAUAAAAGGUUUUCUAAGUGCCAUAUAUAUACUAGUGUCUAUUUGGGAUGAACAAGUUGUUGAUGGUUCACGCCGAAGUAAAAGUUAGGGAUGCUCUUCUGAAAUGGCUUGUGACUCUAGUAUGAGAUUACGGAAUUAUGAAGCAUUUAAGUGAAGGGUGAAAUCGUAUUGACUGGACUUUGUCUACAAUUUCAUGCAGCUUCAAUGGGAUUUUAACUGGUUGUAAACGUGUCGGUGAUGGCUUCAGAGUCUGAUCUGUUACCUAAAUUCUACUUUUUGUAGAAUGUAUAUAUUGAUGAGUUACUUUUGAGAGAUGGGGGAUUCGAUGGCGAUGUUGUUUGUCUAAUUACAGACUUACAACAUGCUUGGUAGGGAUGAAUGGAUUGGACUUGAUAAUACUAAAAAAGAAAGAGAAGCUAAAAUCUUGUUUAUUACACUCUUUAAGUUCUUUCUAGUAUUGCAUACCAAACAAGCUCUUUUUUCUGUUUAUAUUUGAAGCAUUAUUAUUUUAUUUGAAACAACCAGUCCUCUUUGGUUUUUCUCUUUCUUCUGUCUAGCUGUGAAUGUAAUUAGUAUCUUUUCAAGCAUUUCUCUUAUUUACUGUUGGCAGCUGUUGUAAAUACAGUAAUUUGUUAUAAUAAAUUGCCUUUUAUGAGCGUUAUCACUGGAAAAAAAUUAUGUCAAUUGCAAUCUUGCAUCUUUACAUGGAAAUUGGACUGGGAAGGGGAUUCCUGAAAUGUGCUCAUGAUGAAGAUGACAAAAACAUUAUGAAAUUAUACUGCAACCAUCAUUCUUUUGGCUUAUUUCAGUGUGUUUCUGUAGGUCUAUGUCAGUUUCAUCUGCUAUUUUCUUGUUUUAAUACUUAAAGGAAUCCCAUAUCUACUUCUAGUGCUAUUACAUGAAAUAAUAAAUUGCUUCUGCUAGCACAUUUUCAUGAUCAAAGAAGAUUAAACUAAGGGAUAUAACAUUGGUUAAUGAGCAAAUGGUUGGUUAUUCUUCAUAGAAGUCAACUGAAUUUACAUUGUCUAUUGACAAACUGUCUUCAACUCUUCAUUUUAUUUAAAUUUUUUGUUUCAUUUUUCAACUUCAAUUAGGCCAGGGUGUAGAGCUUGAAAGAAGUGCCAUUCAAGGGCCGAUAAUUGGUGGCCCUUUCAGCCUAUUAGUACAGAAGGCCAGUUAGUCACUGAACACAACCUUCUGGAGAUCUGGGUUCUCCUCUACUUCGGUUAUACUUCAUCUCCUGAUGUUGGGCCAGUAGAGGUUCAAAAGAUGGCCAAGACCGUUGAGAUAUUAGGUUUUACUAAUCCAUUUUUCCUUGCAAUUAAAUUGAACUGUUUUUGAGUUCUAUGAUUGAUUUUUUGUUUUUCCUAAUUUGAUUGGAACAAGAGUCAAAACAGAAUCUCAAGAUUUUGCCCAUAUUUGUCACAAUUGAUCCUUAGAGGGAUACGCCUGCACAGCUUCGUGCUUACCUCAGAGGUGAGUUUGCUAUUGACUUGUUUUCUUGUACCCUUCCACAAAACUGGUUGGAGUAUUUUCCAUGAAGCCAGACAUCUCAUAUUUGGUGAAAAAUGGUAGCACUGUUAUAAGUUGACUUUAUUAUUAAUGAAUAAUUGUCAUCAUAACCCAUAAUUAUAUAAUUUGUCUCUCUUUGUAAUUGAGUUUUAAGGAAAAUGACCUGAAGUCGUCAUUUUACAUCAUGAUAUAAUUUCAUCAAUCAUGCUGCCUUCUUAAUCAUGAUUAUUUUUUUGGGUGAGAUAUCAGUUGUGUGUGGCCUUAAGAAAGGAAAGAUGUAAAAUAGUAAUUUUCAGUUAUAACUUAUUUUAUAAGACUUAAAUGAGAUCCAAAGACUUUCUUAGCUGCUGCAUUUGUGUAUAUCUUGUCGAGGGGUUUUCCUUGACUUAAAUUUUGUUAAUUAUCAAAAGAAAGUGUUUUCUAAUGCACUAAACAUCAAUUCCGGCAAAUUAUAUUAUUCUACAAUAAUAAAAAGUACAAUAAGAGAAACCUACUGCGUUUUUUUUUUUUUUUUUUCAGGAAAAAAAAUAUUUUAAGGCAAUUUUUUCUUUGUUUCAACUGGGAUUUUGCAAAGCCCAAUUAGUAUAGGUGAGUAUGGUCACAGCUGCACCGGCUUAAGCUAUUUAUUCUCAUGUUCUUCUGUCCUAUGUCUUUAUCUCCAGAAGUAUUAAAUCAUUUUGAUGGUUCUUUAGAAUGUCUUUUAAUGCAUGGCAAGAAGUAUCUUUUCCCUAUUAUGUAUGUGAGUUGCACCAUUUGGUGUUUAUUUAUUUAGUAGUAGUACUAAUAAGCUAAGUUGUAAUUCUGAUAUUUUCUAUGACUAACAUUUCCCGCACCACUUUCUUUCCAUAUCGAGUGUAGAGUUCGACUCAAGGAUAGUGGGAUUAACUGGACCAGUUGCUGCUAUUAGACAGAUGGCACAACAGUCCAUGUAUUCUUUAAAAAGGUCGACGAAGAAGGAGAUGAUUAUCUUGUCAAGUCUUCUCAAAACAUGUAAAGUGCAAGCCUUCCUCCGAUCUUCCUCGUCUUCACUGUUUCCAUUUUUCUUUUCCCGAUAUAUCUUUUUGCUGUUUUGAAAAGUUGUAUGAAUAUAAUUAACAGGUACUUGAUGAAUCCGAACAUGGAAGUAGUGAGGUGCUUUGGAGUUGAAUACAGUGCGGGGUAGGUUUAUACUUUUCAAGUGUCACUCUUAACAAUUUUUUCCCUUCACACUGUCAAAAUGUAUGUUAGUUUUGAAUUUGAUCCAAUUUUAAUACAAAAUGACACUUGGUAUCUGCAGCAGCUAAGGUUCCUCAUGUUCCCUG
This 5122-nucleotide long non-coding RNA is filed under the name Olea europaea subsp. europaea. Lineage: Eukaryota; Viridiplantae; Streptophyta; Magnoliopsida; Lamiales; Oleaceae. The record is from RNAcentral.